This 253-nucleotide ribosomal RNA is filed under the name uncultured bacterium. Its description in RNAcentral is "partial 16S ribosomal RNA". It matches the Rfam family "Bacterial small subunit ribosomal RNA", at positions 524 to 776 of the family's 1533-position model. The record is from RNAcentral.
UACGUAGGGUGCGAGCGUUGUUCGGAAUUACUGGGCGUAAAGCGCGUGUAGGCGGCUCUGCAAGUCGGGUGUGAAAUCCCAUGGCUCAACCAUGGAAGUGCACUCGAAACUGCAGGGCUAGAGUCCUGGAGAGGAAGGUGGAAUGCUUGGUGUAGAGGUGAAAUUCGUAGAUAUCAAGCGGAACACCGGUGGCGAAGGCGGCCUUCUGGACAGUGACUGACGCUGAGACGCGAAAGCGUGGGGAGCAAACAGG